AGAGAGAGACAUGCGCGCAUAUCAAUAAGCGGAGGAAAAGAAACUAACUAGGAUUCCCUUAGUAACGGCGAGUGAAGCGGGAAGAGCUCAAAUUUGAAAUCUUCAAGGUUUUACCUUGACGAAUUGUAGUUUAAAGAAGUGUUUUCUGCUGAAGUUUUGGUAAAAGUUCUUUGGAAUAGGACAUCAUAGAGGGUGAGAAUCCCGUAUUUGACCAUUAUUUUCAGCUUUGUGAUACACUUUCAAAGAGUCGGAUUGUUUGGGAAUGCAGUCCAAAAUGGGUGGUAAAUUUCAUCUAAAGCUAAAUAUUGGCGAGAGACCGAUAGCGAACAAGUACCGUGAGGGAAAGAUGAAAAGAACUUUGAAAAGAGAGUUAAACAGUACGUGAAAUUGUCAAAAGGGAAGCGUUUGACACCAGUGUUGUUUUCUCGAAAAUCAAUUAAAAAUGGCUCGAUUUUGUAUUGUUGAGACCUUAAAAGCUCACUGUACAUUUUUCGUGUCUUUUUUAAUGCACUUUUCGUUUAACAAGUCAACAUCAGUUUCUUUUGUUGUAAAAGGGUCAUUGGAAGGUGGCUUUCUUUUCGGAGAAAGUGUUUAUAGCCUUUGGCCUCUGCAAUCGGAAGAGACUGAGGUCUGCAGCGUAGACUCUUCGGGGUUAGAUACAUUUGUGCUAAGUUAUAGCUUUUUAUAGACAACUUGUUGACUAUAAUUAGUCUUGUAGCUUACUCGCUUAUGCUAUUUUACCUACGCUUAGGAUGUUGAAGUCAUCGUAUCGCG
Molecule: ribosomal RNA, 774 nt
Filed under: uncultured Neocallimastigales
Lineage: Eukaryota; Fungi; Neocallimastigomycota; Neocallimastigomycetes; Neocallimastigales
Description: partial large subunit ribosomal RNA
Rfam family: Eukaryotic large subunit ribosomal RNA
Source: RNAcentral